Cavia porcellus (domestic guinea pig) is the source of this 2772-nucleotide long non-coding RNA. RefSeq lists it as uncharacterized. NCBI's taxonomy places the organism in Eukaryota, Metazoa, Chordata, Mammalia, Rodentia, Caviidae. The transcript is spliced from 2 exons. The record is from RefSeq and is a predicted model, not a curated record.
CCAUGUGUGUUUUUGAGUAACAUGUAUGAUUUAUGAGUUCAUCUAGAUAGCAGGUAACAGCAGAUUAGUUGAUUUCUGUUAUCAAUGUAAUUGUUUUACUUAUUAAGAACACAGAGUAAUUAAAAUUAGAAGAAAAUUGAGAGAUUGUGCAAUUUAAUGGAAUCAUUGAAAAUGAACAAAUUGAAGUCCAAGAGAGAUUUCACUAAAAGAGAGACUUAAUGGAUUCAGGUUUAAUUCUCACACUGACUGAGGAAUGAGUCAGCUGCAAAUUAUUAUUUUAUGUGUCUGCACUCUCAGGAUUCCUGGAUUGUCUAGGUUCUGUGUUUUUUUAUGAAGAAAAUGAUGGAUAAAUAAUUUGUCUUUUCCAUAAAUAGUAUAUUUUGGCCAUUUCUCUAACUGGUUGACAUGAUGCCUAGAUUUGUUUUGAUGAGUGAUUAAAUUUUAGUGAGUGUGAUCAGAUGUAAUUUUGCAGAAAAUACUGUAUGCAGAUAUUAUUGUCUCUACAGUUUAAAAUUAUAAGCAGAAAAAUGCUAAACAUUUCUAAAUUACAUUAAGAUAAAAUAGCAAAUCAUCAGGAGAUUAGAGUAGGUUAAAAGGACUCUUAAGCAUAAUUAAAGAUUCCCCAAGGGGCAGCUUUAUCCAUGAAAAACAAACAGUACAGAAUAAAAUCUUGUAUUUUCUUCAAGGGUUACAUUAGAUGCAGGGAAUGAUGUGGGAACAGGUCAUACAUUGUAUGGGGGAUGAAUCCUUUUUGAAAUAGAGGCACGUUGCCUGUUGUUAAUAAGAUAUUAAUGGUUUAUGGAAGCUGUUGGUUAGGUCAAAAUGAAUUUCAUACAUUUUUAUCAUUAUUCUGUUACAACCCAAUAUUUACAUAUGGUGCUGUGUAUUAAAGUUAGGCAAAUCACUGUUUCUGAAAAAUUCUCAGCUCAAGUAUACAGGCCAGUGAAAGUGCCUUGGAGAUAGAAUUUCAUCAGGUUUGUCCUGUAGUAAUCAGUGUUUUAAAUUACAGUGCAGCGCAUUCCAAAUCAAUAUAAUGAAUUGAUUUGUAAAUGUUUCAGGCAGCCUACCUUCUUUGGAUUUUGUCUACUGAAUGUGCACUGCAGGAGGCUAGGAUGAUCUAUGGUCUUCUGGUCUCAAAAACCACCUUUUGGAAACUCGAAGAAAAUCAGAUGUACAACCCAACCAAAACAGGAAUUCUAUUUGAAUACGAUGAUAAGUUUGGAGAAAUCUCUCUGGAGAUGGUGUUUUCAAGAGUUGUAUGGCUAUGAUGUUAUUUUAAUGAAACCAGCACGAGAAGUGCGCCCUAUUACUACAUUAUCAAGCUGUGAUAAUGUUUCCAUUGUGUAUUACGUCAGUGUUCUCUCAUGUGCUCUGACUCCAGAUGAAACUUAAGGUGUUGACUACAAAGUCUAAAAUUAUUUGGAUUUUAGUUACUAUAUUCUCUUCUAAUGUGAUGCAUUUUAAAUUUAAACUUUUGAAGCAUUCAUGCUACUUUCAGAUUACAUUGAAGAUAAUUGGGGAAUGAGACUUGUUUUAGAGCAUUUUUUCAAAGGUGGGGGAGGGGAGAAACAUCCUCUAUGUGAGCAGUAUCUUAAUACUGGAUUUCCUUUGAAAGCAAGAACUUUAUUCUAAAAUUUGAAAUAUUUAAGUUAGUCAAAGUAACUCUGUGUGUCUUUAAAUUGCAAAUAUUGUUUUGCAAGUAUAACUUUUUACCUCUUAGGUUGUAUGUGCUUAUGUUACAGUAAUGUAUUUCUGACACAUGGCAUGGAAUGUGGAUAAAAAUGAACCUAAAAUGUAAAAGUAAAAUAUUACUCUAUUACAUCCUUCUGGGGAAAUAUAUUCUCUGGGUAUUUUGAUAAACCCCUGCUGACACUGACCCAAGUUGGUGGCUUCAGAAAAUAUCAAUCUGUCAGAAUCUAUAGCAGGAGUUUGGCUUGUUUCCUAUUAUUAUGUGGCCAAAAGUUUAGAAACCAUUUAUAGACACUUCCCCUCCCUCCUUAGCCUUGUCCAAAUAAUUAGCAAUUCUCAGACCAACUGCAAAAUGUAUUUGUGUUCUGCUCUUUCAGCUAAUGUCUGCCUCAGUCCAACCCGUCUUCAUGCCCUGCAAGUGACUGCAGGUCUCCUCAGUGAACCAUGUAUCUACUCUUGCUAGCUUCCAAUUCUUCUUAUUCACACUGCCCAUUUUUAUAAAUUAAAAGGUUUAUUUUUAGAGCAGUUUUAGAUAUAUAGAAAAAUUGAGGAGAAAAUACAAAGUUCUCAUUUACCUCCCCAAGCCCAGUUUCCUGUCUGAGUAAUCGCCUGCAUUAGUAUGGUACAUUUGUAUAAUUAAUAAGUUGCUACUAAUCCUGAAAUCCAUGGUGACAUCAGAGUUCACUCUGUGUUGCACAUCCUAUGAUUUUUGAUAAAUUUAUAAUGACGUAUACCCACCAUUGCAGCAUAAUUUUAACGCCCCCAAAUUGCCCAUAUUUUACUAUUCAUCCCUUGUUACCUUCUUCUAAAUACUUGUAAUGAUUUUUUGUUUAUAUUUUUGCUAAUUUUACAUCUUACAAAAAGUCAUGCAUUUGAAUCAUUCAGUAGACAGUCUUUUCAUUUUUUUUAAUUUGCCACGAUGAAUAUGAGUUUCUUCUGUGUCUUUUGUGUGACUUAUGUAUGUUGUUGAUUAAUGUUCCAUUUUAUGUGUAGUCCAUUAAUUUCUUGAUCCUUCCAUAUAUUGGAUAUAAAAUCUUGAAUGGUUCCAAAUUUUGGCAGUUAUGAAUAAAAACACUAUCAACA